AGGGUAGUGAUGGAAUUGGUAUACAUGAAUAGCUUAGGACUGUUUGAUUUCGAAAUCUUAUCCGUUCAAGUCGGAUCUACCUUA
RNAcentral lists this transfer RNA (84 nucleotides) under Imshaugia aleurites. RNAcentral's name for it is "tRNA-Leu". The record is from RNAcentral. Lineage: Eukaryota; Fungi; Ascomycota; Lecanoromycetes; Lecanorales; Parmeliaceae.